GACGAACGCUGGCGGCGUGCUUAACACAUGCAAGUCGAACGGAAAGGCCCUGCUUUUGUGGGGUGCUCGAGUGGCGAACGGGUGAGUAACACGUGAGUAACCUGCCCUUGACUUUGGGAUAACUUCAGGAAACUGGGGCUAAUACCGGAUAGGAGCUCCUGCUGCAUGGUGGGGGUUGGAAAGUUUCGGCGGUUGGGGAUGGACUCGCGGCUUAUCAGCUUGUUGGUGGGGUAGUGGCUUACCAAGGCGUUGACGGGUAGCCGGCCUGAGAGGGUGACCGGCCACAUUGGGACUGAGAUACGGCCCGGACUCCUACGGGAGGCAGGAGUGGGGGAUAGUGCACGAUGGGCGGAAGCCGGAUGCAGCAACGCCGCGUGCGGGAUGACGGCCUUCGGGUUGUAACCCGUGUGCGCCUGUGACGAAGCGUGAGUGACGGUAAUGUAUAAAGAAGCACCGGCUAACUACGUG
This 468-nucleotide ribosomal RNA is filed under the name uncultured bacterium. RNAcentral describes it as "partial 16S ribosomal RNA". It matches the Rfam family "Bacterial small subunit ribosomal RNA", at positions 28 to 507 of the family's 1533-position model. The record is from RNAcentral.